RNAcentral lists this ribosomal RNA (701 nucleotides) under uncultured bacterium. RNAcentral's name for it is "bacterial SSU rRNA". It matches the Rfam family "Bacterial small subunit ribosomal RNA", at positions 8 to 710 of the family's 1533-position model. The record is from RNAcentral.
AGAGUUUGAUCAUGGCUCUUUACUAACGCUGGCGGCGUGCCUAACACAUGCAAGUCGAGCGAGACGGUUAGCAUUGAUCCUUCGGGUGAUUUACUAACUAGACAGCGGCGGACGGGUGAGUAACGCGUGGGUAACCUGCCUUGUACUGGGGGAUAACGUUCUGAAAAGAUCGCUAAUACCGCAUAAGCACACAGUAUCGCAUGAUACAGUGUGAAAAACUCCGGUGGUACAAGAUGGACCCGCGUCUGAUUAGCUAGUUGGUGAGAUAAAAGCUCACCAAGGCGACGAUCAGUAGCCGACCUGAGAGGGUGAUCGGCCACAUUGGGACUGAGACACGGCCCAAACUCCUACGGGAGGCAGCAGUGGGGAAUAUUGCACAAUGGGGGAAACCCUGAUGCAGCGACGCCGCGUGAAGGAUGAAGGAUUUCGGUUCGUAAACUUCUAUCAGCAGGGAAGAUAGUGACUGUACCUGACUAAGAAGCCCCGGCUAACUACGUGCCAGCAGCCGCGGUAAUACGUAGGGGGCAAGCGUUAUCCGGAAUUACUGGGUGUAAAGGGUGCGUAGGCGGUUUGUUAAGUUAGAUGUGAAAGCCCGGGGCUCAACUUCGGGACUGCAUUUAAAACUGACAAACUAGAAUACAGGAGAGGUAAGUGGAAUUCCUAGUGUAGCGGUGAAAUGCGUAGAUAUUAGGAGGAACACC